GAGAGGAGGGGGAGGGGGAGGGGAGGAGGAGGAGCAGGCCAGGGAAGCAGAGGUUAGCACAAUUUUCAGUUUCAGUUAAUCAAACUAUAUUGACUAAUAAUUGUGUCCUAAGGGUACAAGCGGAACAUCCCUAAAACCAUAAACUCUAAUGCAAAAUGCUAAAAACCUAAAACCUAAAAAAUUUUGACUCCUGCUAUCCAUGGAAAAUUCCACACCACACAUAACAUUAUUAAGAAUAUUAUAAAAUUUCCUUCUGGCUGUCUGUUUAAGGUGCAUAUGAAACACAGUUGAGCUUUGUGUUCAGAGCCGAGUCCGCUCUCCAGAAAUCAUCAUUGUGUGCAAAUGACCUCCAGAGGGGAGCAGCUCCAGACCAGAAGCACUUCGGAUGUGAGUCUUGGGGGAGCUACUUUUGUGACCCACGGGACAGUCGCCGGCACUCGCUUUGUGGCUGAAUGGGAGAGACAGGCCAGGGCUUGUUUCCAGGCUAAAUAUGCCACUUGACCAAGUCACUUAACUCUGGGGUUGUGUUUCCUUAUCCAGGGAGCAACUGGAUUAAACUUGAUACUAUCUAUGUUUCUAUCUAUUUCUGAUUAGCGCUUUAAUUUCCUAGAAAAAACUUUCACGAAUCUUGCUGGAUAAAAGCACUCUUUGUUCUGGGAUAUUGCUGGUGGCCUCACCUUGUUCCCACUGGCGGCUGCCACGCCUGUCACCCAGCUCACAUUACUCUGCAGUCCUAGUUUCUGAGGACACCUGCAGCUGGCGAGGGGUUCUCCAUUCUUCAGCACAUCCGGCUGUCAUAGUUCCUCUGUGAUGAAACUGAAACAGAGCAGAAGUUACCUUGACCCCUACUCUACAGACGGAGAAAUCCAGAGAGAACUGCAGGGAACUCGUUCCUACACACGUGAUCUCCGCAUCAGCAGCCGAGUAGACAGAGAAGUGCAACCAAAGCAAUUUCUGUCGGUGUCUGAGACCAUGCGGAGCUGCCGGCUCAGGUCCAGGACGCCGAGGUAACCGUGAUCGUAACAUCUUAGCGGACUGGCGGGGCUUGGAGGUGGCCGCCCGGCGCCGGGAGGGGCGGGGUCGACGGCGGGGCGGGGAGCCCCUUAUCUGCACGUCUGGGCGAACGGGCUCCCCGCUGGCAGGGGCCCAGACAGAGCGGAGGACAGGGACGCAGGGGCAGUAUCGCCUCGGUACACUGAGGGACGCAGAAGUGGAGAGAGCGGGAGAGGUGCGGGGCCAGAGGAGCGACCAGGAGAGGGAGGGAGGCGGGGAGCAGGGCCCCCUGCACCAAGCUCCGUCCCCAACCCUUCUAAGAUUUUCAUUUUGAGACAAGGGCUAGCUCAGUCGCCCGGCUGGGCUGGAACUUAGAACCUCCUGCCUCAGCCUCCCAGAGUGCUGGAGGACAGGCACUCGCCGCCGUGCCGGGCAG
RNAcentral lists this long non-coding RNA (1429 nucleotides) under Fukomys damarensis (Damara mole-rat). Its description in RNAcentral is "lncRNA (ENSFDAG00000030983.1)". The record is from RNAcentral. Lineage: Eukaryota; Metazoa; Chordata; Mammalia; Rodentia; Bathyergidae.